RNAcentral lists this ribosomal RNA (253 nucleotides) under uncultured bacterium. Its description in RNAcentral is "partial 16S ribosomal RNA". It matches the Rfam family "Bacterial small subunit ribosomal RNA", at positions 524 to 776 of the family's 1533-position model. The record is from RNAcentral.
UACGAGGGGGGAAAGCGUUGUUCGGAAUUAUUGGGCGUAAAGGGCGCGUAGGCGGUUUGACAAGUCUGAUGUGAAAUCUAUGGGCUCAACCCAUAGCCUGCAUUAGAAACUGUCGGGCUUGAGUAUGGGAGAGGUGAGUGGAAUUUCCGGUGUAGCGGUGAAAUGCGUAGAUAUCGGAAGGAACACCAGUGGCGAAGGCGACCACCUGGACUGAUACUGACACUGAGGUGCGAAAGCGUGGGGAGCAAACAGG